This 265-nucleotide unclassified non-coding RNA is filed under the name Ascomycota sp. RNAcentral describes it as "partial contains small subunit ribosomal RNA, internal transcribed spacer 1, and 5.8S ribosomal RNA". The stretch from base 1 to 47 matches the Rfam family "Eukaryotic small subunit ribosomal RNA", at positions 1785 to 1831 of the family's 1831-position model. Lineage: Eukaryota; Fungi; Ascomycota. The record is from RNAcentral.
AAAGUCGUAACAAGGUUUCCGUAGGUGAACCUGCGGAAGGAUCAUUACCGAGAUUGUCAGUUAACUCUGACGACUCCCCACCCUUGUGUAUCUUUGCUGAAAAGCAGCUUCGGCGGGCCGUCCAACCUCCUACGGGAGGGGCGACGUCGGCUCAUUGCGAGCGGAUCUGCGCCUGCCGAAGGACCAAACUCUUUGAAUCAUUUGAAGUCUGAUUAUAAACUUGAUAAAUCAAUCAAAACUUUCAACAACGGAUCUCUUGGUUCUG